GGAAUUNCUGGGCGUAAAGCGGGCGCAGACGGUUACUUAAGCAGGAUGUGAAAUCCCCGGGCUCAACCUGGGAACUGCGUUCUGAACUGGGUGACUAGAGUGUGUCAGAGGGAGGUAGAAUUNCACGUGUAGCAGUGAAAUGCGUAGAGAUGUGGAGGAAUACCGAUGGCGAAGGCAGCCUCCUGGGAUAACACUGACGUUCAUGCCCGAAAGCGUGGGUAGCAAACAGGAUUAGAUACCCUGGUAGUCCACGCCCUAAACGAUGUCGAUUAGCUGUUGGGCAGCAUGACUGCUUAGUAGCGAAGCUAACGCGUGAAAUCGACCGCCUGGGGAGUACGGUCGCAAGAUUAAAACUCAAAGGAAUUGACGGGGACCCGCACAAGCGGUGGAUGAUGUGGAUUAAUUCGAUACAACGCGAAGAACCUUACCUGGUCUUGACAUGUACGGAACCCUCCAGAGACGGAGGAGUGCCUUCGGGAGCCGUAACACAGGUGCUGCAUGGCUGUCGUCGGCUCGUGUCGUGAGAUGUUGGGUUAAGUCCCGCAACGAGCGCAACCCUUGUCAUUAGUUGCCAUCAUUAAGUUGGGCACUCUAAUGAGACUGCCGGUGACAAGCCGGAGGAAGGUGGGGAUGACGUCAAGUCCUCAUGGCCCUUAUGACCAGGGCUUCACACGUCAUACAAUGGUCGGUACAGAGGGUAGCCAAGCCGCGAGGCGGAGCCAAUCUCACAAAACCGAUCGUAGUCCGGAUUGCACUCUGCAACUCGAGUGCAUGAAGUCGGAAUCGCUAGUAAUCGCAGGUCAGCAUACUGCGGUGAAUACGUUCCCGGGUCUUGUACACACCGCCCGUCACACCAUGGGAGUGGGGGAUACCAGA
Molecule: ribosomal RNA, 876 nt
Filed under: uncultured bacterium
Lineage: Bacteria
Description: bacterial SSU rRNA
Rfam family: Bacterial small subunit ribosomal RNA
Source: RNAcentral